UAGAUAUAUUAAUUUCAUAGGAACUGCAUCAUAUGCUUACAAUAGCUCACACAUGAGAUAGAUAUACAAUUACAGAUCAUACACAUCAACAAUAGAUAUAGCAGAAAUCGUAGUAGUAAAGUCUCGGCCACACAUCGAUAUUUUAUGUUCAAGGAACACAACAGCAUACAACAUUCCUGAUUCAUACUCCAGCAAAUUCAACAUGGCUGUUAUAAAUUGCAAUACCAGCAUAUAUAUUCAGAGUGGAGCGAUCCUCCAUUUCUGGUGAUCUCCUUUGUUCCAAUAGGCGAGGACAACUUUCGUACCAUUUUGGACACCACCAGAUUUCUUAUCACCACGGAAAGCAUCUACAUUCAGGUGAAUGUUG
RNAcentral lists this unclassified non-coding RNA (367 nucleotides) under Hevea brasiliensis (rubber tree). The record is from RNAcentral. Lineage: Eukaryota; Viridiplantae; Streptophyta; Magnoliopsida; Malpighiales; Euphorbiaceae.